Long non-coding RNA from Sinocyclocheilus grahami, 818 nucleotides. RefSeq lists it as uncharacterized. The transcript has 6 exons. Lineage: Eukaryota; Metazoa; Chordata; Actinopteri; Cypriniformes; Cyprinidae. The record is from RefSeq and is a predicted model, not a curated record.
UGCACGAGUAAAAAAUAAAACAUUUUAUGCUAAUACUGAUUCUCUGGAUUUCCUUCUUUUUGCAGAUCCUUGUCAUUGUCAUCCCCACCCCUCCAUCUCUCUCCUCUUUUGUGGUGUUGUUCACUUUAUAACUCAAAGGCUCUUUUAAGAGCCAUUUCCCCUUGCAAAAACUUUGAAUACAACUCCCAAUGAGAAAGAAAUGCAUACAGCUGUCCAGUCGCAGUGUGACCCUAAAUGUUGUCCAAAUCCUGUGGUAACAAGUCUGAACGUAGUUAAAGCAAGCAAAACAUUUUGGGGAACCAUGCCAAAUGAGGGGCAACAGCAGUUGGUCUGAUGAAGAAAGACGGGCAACAAAAAGACAAAUGAGGCAUACUGAAAAGAAUGCACAAAAGGCAAGCAUGACUGCAGAGUUGCAACUUUUGGAUUUACCCAUGGAGGUCUUGGAGAUGAUACUCCUUGAAGUAGUGCUACAGGAUGGAGAUGCUGCCUACAUGAAUAUGUCUCUUACUUGCAGUUGUAAACAAGGCCCUGUUCAGACAGAAGGCACACUAUGCAUGGCUUGACCAGUGUUGGUGAACUGGGGAAAAUGGAGUGAAACAUCAAAGGCUGAAUUGCGGGUGCCUUUUGAAAUAAAAGUGUGUAAAAUAUGUCAAACCGUGUUCAAAUCCUGCUCAGGUUUUUACAGUAAUGGGAAGCGUGGUUGCCUGAGAGGAUUCUACGACAGCAUAGAGGACCCAGACUGCUGUUUCAUGUGCCAGUAAAGUGUAUAAAGAAGGAAGGUUUAAUGAUUAAAGGAGAUUAAGCAUUAAAGGAAGAAA